CAUGCAAGUCGAGCGGGCGUAGCAAUACGUCAGCGGCAGACGGGUGAGUAACGCGUGGGAACGUACCUUUUGGUUCGGAACAACACAGGGAAACUUGUGCUAAUACCGGAUAAGCCCUUACGGGGAAAGAUUUAUCGCCGAAAGAUCGGCCCGCGUCUGAUUAGCUAGUUGGUAGGGUAAUGGCCUACCAAGGCGACGAUCAGUAGCUGGUCUGAGAGGAUGAUCAGCCACAUUGGGACUGAGACACGGCCCAAACUCCUACGGGAGGCAGCAGUGGGGAAUAUUGGACAAUGGGGGCAACCCUGAUCCAGCCAUGCCGCGUGAGUGAUGAAGGCCCUAGGGUUGUAAAGCUCUUUUGUGCGGGAAGAUAAUGACGGUACCGCAAGAAUAAGCCCCGGCUAACUUCGUGCCAGCAGCCGCGGUAAUACGAAGGGGGCUAGCGUUGCUCGGAAUCACUGGGCGUAAAGGGUGCGUAGGCGGGUCUUUAAGUCAGGGGUGAAAUCCUGGAGCUCAACUCCAGAACUGCCUUUGAUACUGAAGAUCUUGAGUUCGGGAGAGGUGAGUGGAACUGCGAGUGUAGAGGUGAAAUUCGUAGAUAUUCGCAAGAACACCAGUGGCGAAGGCGGCUCACUGGCCCGAUACUGACGCUGAGG
Molecule: ribosomal RNA, 653 nt
Filed under: Bradyrhizobium sp.
Lineage: Bacteria; Pseudomonadati; Pseudomonadota; Alphaproteobacteria; Hyphomicrobiales; Nitrobacteraceae
Description: bacterial SSU rRNA
Rfam family: Bacterial small subunit ribosomal RNA
Source: RNAcentral